CAGAGGUCCCAAGCGUGUUCGGAUUCACUGGGCGUAAAGGGUGCGUAGGCGGUCGGGUAAGUCUGACGUGAAAUCUUCAAGCUCAACUUGGAAACUGCGUCGGAUACUAUUCGGCUAGAGGAAUGGAGGGGAGACUGGAAUACUUGGUGUAGCAGUGAAAUGCGUAGAUAUCAAGUGGAACACCAGUGGCGAAGGCGAGUCCCUGGACAUUUCCUGACGCUGAGGCACGAAAGCCAGGGGAGCAAACGGGAUUAGAUACCCCGGUAGUCCUGGCCCUAAACGGUGCUCGUUUGCUGUAAGAGGAAUCGACCCCUUUUGUGGCGAAGCUAACGCGUUAAACGUGCCGCCUGGGAAGUACGGCCGCAAGGUUA
This 371-nucleotide ribosomal RNA is filed under the name uncultured organism. RNAcentral's name for it is "bacterial SSU rRNA". It matches the Rfam family "Bacterial small subunit ribosomal RNA", at positions 526 to 896 of the family's 1533-position model. The record is from RNAcentral.